RNAcentral lists this ribosomal RNA (941 nucleotides) under Buchnera aphidicola (Prociphilus erigeronensis). Its description in RNAcentral is "bacterial SSU rRNA". It matches the Rfam family "Bacterial small subunit ribosomal RNA", at positions 358 to 1293 of the family's 1533-position model. Lineage: Bacteria; Pseudomonadati; Pseudomonadota; Gammaproteobacteria; Enterobacterales; Erwiniaceae. The record is from RNAcentral.
GGAAUAUUGCACAAUGGGCGAAGCCUGAUGCAGCUAUACCGCGUGUAUGAAGAAGGCCUUAGGGUUGUAAAGUACUUUCGUUGGGGAGGAAAAAUAAAUAGAUAAUACCUGUUUAUCGUGACGUUACCCAAAAAAGAAGCACCGGCUAACUCCGUGCCAGCAGCCGCGGUAAUACGGAGGGUGCAAGCGUUAAUCAGAAUUACUGGGCGUAAAGAGCUCGUAGGCGGUUUUUUAAGUCAGAUGUGAAAUCCCUGGGCUUAACCUAGGAACUGCAUUUGAAACUAAAAGACUAGAGUAUCGUAGAGGGAGGUAGAAUUCUAGGUGUAGCGGUGAAAUGCGUAGAUAUCUGGAGGAAUACCUGUGGCGAAAGCGGCCUCCUAAAUGAAUACUGACGCUGAGGUGCGAAAGCAUGGGGAGCAAACAGGAUUAGAUACCCUGGUAGUCCAUGCCGUAAACGAUGUCGACUUGGAGGUUGUUUCCUUGAGAAGUGACUUCCGAAGCUAACGCGUUAAGUCGACCGCCUGGGGAGUACGGUCGCAAGGCUAAAACUCAAAUGAAUUGACGGGGGCCCGCACAAGCGGUGGAGCAUGUGGUUUAAUUCGAUGCAACGCGAAAAACCUUACCUGGUCUUGACAUCCACAGAAUUUUUCAGAGAUGAAAAAGUGCCUUAGGGAACUGUGAGACAGGUGCUGCAUGGCUGUCGUCAGCUCGUGUUGUGAAAUGUUGGGUUAAGUCCCGCAACGAGCGCAACCCUUAUCCUCUGUUGCCAUUGGUUCGGCCAGGAACUCAGAGGAGACUGCCGGUUAUAAACCGGAGGAAGGCGGGGACGACGUCAAGUCAUCAUGGCCCUUACGACCAGGGCUACACACGUGCUACAAUGGUGUAUACAAAGAGAAGCAACUCUGCAAAGACAAGCAAACCUCAUAAAGUACAUCGUAGUC